RNAcentral lists this ribosomal RNA (253 nucleotides) under uncultured bacterium. RNAcentral's name for it is "partial 16S ribosomal RNA". It matches the Rfam family "Bacterial small subunit ribosomal RNA", at positions 524 to 776 of the family's 1533-position model. The record is from RNAcentral.
UACGUAGGGGGCAAGCGUUGUCCGGAUUUAUUGGGCGUAAAGAGCGUGUAGGCGGCCAGACAGGUCAGCUGUGAAAACUCGAGGCUCAACCUCGAGACGUCGGUUGAAACCGUCUGGCUAGAGUCCGGAAGAGGAGAGUGGAAUUCCCGGUGUAGCGGUGAAAUGCGUAGAUAUCUGGAGGAACACCGGUGGCGAAGGCGGCGUUCUGGACUGCAACUGACACUGAGGAACGAAAGCCAGGGGAGCAAACGGG